AGCACCCUUUUGGGUGUGACUGCGUACCUUUUGUAUAAUGGGUCAGCGACUUAUAUUCUGUAGCAAGGUUAACCGAAUAGGGGAGCCGGAGGGAAACCGAGUCUUAAUUGGGCGUUAAGUUGCAGGGUAUAGACCCGAAACCCGGUGAUCUAGCCAUGGGCAGGUUGAAGGUUGGGUAACACUAACUGGAGGACCGAACCGACUAAUGUUGAAAAAUUAGCGGAUGACCUGUGGCUGGGGGUGAAAGGCCAAUCAAACCGGGAGAUAGCUGGUUCUCCCCGAAAGCUAUUUAGGUAGCGCCUCGUGAAUUCAUCUCCGGGGGUAGAGCACUGUUUCGGCUAGGGGGCCAUCCCGGCUUACCAACCCGAUGCAAACUGCGAAUACCGGAGAAUGUUAUCACGGGAGACACACGGCGGGUGCUAACGUCCGUCGUGAAGAGGGAAACAACCCAGACCGCCAGCUAAGGUCCCAAAGUCAUGGUUAAGUGGGAAACGAUGUGGGAAGGCCCAGACAGCCAGGAUGUUGGCUUAGAAGCAGCCAUCAUUUAAAGAAAGCGUAAUAGCUCACUGGUCGAGUCGGCCUGCGCGGAAGAUGUAACGGGGCUAAACCAUGCACCGAAGCUGCGGCAGCGACGUUUAUGCGUUGUUGGGUAGGGGAGCGUUCUGUAAGCCUGCGAAGGUGGCCUGUGAGGGUUGCUGGAGGUAUCAGAAGUGCGAAUGCUGACAUAAGUAACGAUAAAGCGGGUGAAAAGCCCGCUCGCCGGAAGACCAAGGGUUCCUGUCCAACGUUAAUCGGGGCAGGGUGAGUCGACCCCUAAGGCGAGGCCGAAAGGCGUAGUCGAUGGGAAACGGGUUAAUAUUCCCGUACUUGGUGUUACUGCGAAGGGGGGACGGAGAAGGCUAUGUUGGCCGGGCGACGGUU
Molecule: ribosomal RNA, 921 nt
Filed under: Salmonella enterica subsp. enterica serovar Bareilly
Lineage: Bacteria; Pseudomonadati; Pseudomonadota; Gammaproteobacteria; Enterobacterales; Enterobacteriaceae
Description: partial 23S ribosomal RNA
Rfam family: Bacterial large subunit ribosomal RNA
Source: RNAcentral